UAUACCUCCUGAGGAAGCCGAGUGCUUGUGGCUUGCCAGUCGAACCUGCCCUCCCACCAGCGCUCUCUGUAUUUCUUCUUGGGACUUGGGGUCUCAUCAACAAAACCAAGAUGUCAGAGUAAG
Molecule: long non-coding RNA, 123 nt
Organism: Pantherophis guttatus
Lineage: Eukaryota; Metazoa; Chordata; Lepidosauria; Squamata; Colubridae
Source: RefSeq, a predicted model, not a curated record